RNAcentral lists this transfer RNA (76 nucleotides) under Aeromonas salmonicida subsp. pectinolytica 34mel. Its description in RNAcentral is "tRNA-OTHER". It matches the Rfam family "tRNA". Rfam says of the family: Transfer RNA (tRNA) molecules are approximately 80 nucleotides in length. Their secondary structure includes four short double-helical elements and three loops (D, anti-codon, and T loops). The record is from RNAcentral. Lineage: Bacteria; Pseudomonadati; Pseudomonadota; Gammaproteobacteria; Aeromonadales; Aeromonadaceae.
GCCCAGAUAGCUCAGUCGGUAGAGCAGGGGAUUGAAAAUCCUCAUGACACUUUUAAUACCACAGCUCUGGAUAGCA